Long non-coding RNA from Portunus trituberculatus (swimming crab), 562 nucleotides. RefSeq lists it as uncharacterized. The transcript has 3 exons. The record is from RefSeq and is a predicted model, not a curated record. NCBI's taxonomy places the organism in Eukaryota, Metazoa, Arthropoda, Malacostraca, Decapoda, Portunidae.
AGGCCUUGAGGGUUGAAGCGGCUCCGACGACCAUUCGCAUCUCAGUGCAGUGGCGACUUUGAGGAAGUGAGGUGGUGUGUCUGUGUGAUCUCUCGCCUGCCUGCCACACUGCCCGCUGCAUCCUUGCUUUAUUCAGAAGGAGAACAUGGCGCCACUCGCAACGAUCGAAACUAUCUCCGUUGUUCGACCUCUUAAGGUGAGUGAGUGAGUGAGUGUGUGUGUGUACUUGCGUUUGCCACUGGGAAUGAUCAACACCAGGUAAGAUGUUGUUUCACCUGUAAUAAGGGAGCCCUCAGGUGUGCGGCAGGUUAAGACUGGCAAGGUAAGAUGCAAAUAAUUGUUUUGUUUUUUGUUUACAUUCGUGAAGGGGAGAGAGAGAGAGAGAGAGAGAGAGAGAGAGAGAGAGAGAGAGGAUAAUGGGGGUGAUAUUAAUGGUAAAGAUGCAAAAAAAUAUGAAGAAAAAGAGAAAAAAGUUAAUUUCUAAAAAGGUGAAAGGAAUGAGAAACUGAAAAUAGAGGAAGAAAAAGAAAGGAAUAAUGAAAAAACGUAAAUAAAAUAAUGA